This 429-nucleotide ribosomal RNA is filed under the name bacterium. Its description in RNAcentral is "partial 16S ribosomal RNA". It matches the Rfam family "Bacterial small subunit ribosomal RNA", at positions 355 to 776 of the family's 1533-position model. The record is from RNAcentral.
UAGGGAAUCUUCGGCAAUGGGGGCAACCCUGACCGAGCAACGCCGCGUGAGUGAAGAAGGUUUUCGGAUCGUAAAGCUCUGUUGUAAGAGAAGAACGUGUGUGAGAGUGGAAAGUUCACACAGUGACGGUAACUUACCAGAAAGGGACGGCUAACUACGUGCCAGCAGCCGCGGUAAUACGUAGGUCCCGAGCGUUGUCCGGAUUUAUUGGGCGUAAAGCGAGCGCAGGCGGUUUAAUAAGUCUGAAGUUAAAGGCAGUGGCUUAACCAUUGUUCGCUUUGGAAACUGUUACACUGGAGUGCAGAAGGGGAGAGUGGAAUUCCAUGUGUAGCGGUGAAAUGCGUAGAUAUAUGGAGGAACACCGGUGGCGAAAGCGGCUCUCUGGUCUGUAACUGACGCUGAGGCUCGAAAGCGUGGGGAGCAAACAGG